GAAGCGGGUACAUGAUACUAUGGCUCAGUGGUGGCCACUGGCAACUAUUUCGUCGUCGCACAGGUAACGACUUGUUCACGGUGCCUCACGCCGCACUGCCUUCAGACACACUCACUCCAAGGAUUGAUUUGCUGUGUUCACCUGACGCAUGGAAGUCGUGUGAAGAGAGCACGAGGCGUAUGAUCGGACUAACAAAAUCGGGGGUGUUGAGGUGCCAGGCUGUUUGUGGAAGUCCGGCUGUUGAUCUUAUCUCGCAAAGGAUGGUGAAAAAUUCGCUUACCCACUCAGUAUUCAACCCCCUCACACGCAUCCCACGCCCUCCCCACGCCGGCACGGACCCACGCCCCGACGCCACGCCACGCCCAUUCGGGAAUGUACCACGAGGUUUCCGAUGGUCAUGAGUCAGCGGGUAAUGGCCGCCGCCUGGCCAGGCCGUGACGGACGCUAAUAACGCCGCCGCUGUGUCCGGACAAGACGUACGGUGCCAUUCCCUUCGGUUCCGCAGGAGACUGAAGGCGCUGCUUGUCAUCCGCUUCUUUAUUGUUUCGGCUUCGUGACACGGGAAGAAUUACAAUUAAUAACUGCAAUUAUAAUGGCGAUGAAAAUGAUAAAUAAUGAUCAUCAUAAUAUC
Long non-coding RNA from Eriocheir sinensis (Chinese mitten crab), 631 nucleotides. RefSeq lists it as uncharacterized. Lineage: Eukaryota; Metazoa; Arthropoda; Malacostraca; Decapoda; Varunidae. The record is from RefSeq and is a predicted model, not a curated record. The transcript is spliced from 3 exons.